Molecule: long non-coding RNA, 1060 nt
Filed under: Triticum aestivum (bread wheat)
Lineage: Eukaryota; Viridiplantae; Streptophyta; Magnoliopsida; Poales; Poaceae
Description: long non-coding RNA (TAES_LNC012768)
Source: RNAcentral
CACUGAUAGAGAUGUGCCUUGCUGUAAUAAGAUGAUGGGCUCAUGACUUAUCUUUCUUGGACAAAACAAGGAAUCUAGCCAUAACUAUGUACAUAUCUGGAUACUCAUCUUUUUUUUCUCAAGCUAUCAUGUCAAGUGUAGAGGAAAUGAUGAUAUACAGAAUAAGGAGAAAGACAUGCUGACAGUACAUCCAGUUCCAAUUUUCAUCAUACUAUGUGCUAAUAUAUGCUCUGAGUGAUAAUAUGCCACCUUGCGCUAUCUACACACGUAACAUGUUCUUCUUUUGUAUAAUUAUACACUAUAAAAUUAUUGUAUGCUUACCUUUGGUGGAAUUUCAGAGUUAAAAGGACAUGAAGAGUUAAUUUUGGUUGUCCUUUGUUUCAUAAAAAAUGUUGGUAUCAUUUAGAACUAUGUUUAUUUGGUGUAACCGGAAUUAAUCACUGGUUAAACAUAUAGAAGGAGUCUCUCUAUUGGAAGGGAAAAAUAUAAUAUUAGACACCAUUUAUUUUUCUGCUCGGUGAUGCAUGCAAUGUAUCAUUUGGCCUUGAUUUAAUGUACUGCACUUUUCUUCAUUGUUCUCUGUUCUUUAAUAAGUCAGACUCAUAUAGAACCUGAUAUUUCUUAGUGAUGUCUUCAAAUCCCAUGAAUGUCAUUUUGCACCGAAGGUUUGUAACCAUUGGGGAAUGUUUUCUUGCUCUGAUGUAUCAAGUUGCCAUGGGGGUGAUCUAGAGGUGAAAGCUAGCAAGCCAUCUCCUGAUAUUUUCCUUACUAGCAAGCUUAAUGCGGAACACUUAUAUUUCAGUACUUGUUUGUUUAAUUGUGUUAUUUAUCUGCAGGUCUCUUCCUUGUCCAAAGUAUGUCGUACCUAAUCAAGACAUGUUCAUUUAAUUUACCCGUCAUGUAAAUGACACAACAUGAUUCACUUGUGUAUAGUGUAAACAUAUAUUUAUUUAUGGCAAGCAGGUGUUCAAAUUAUAGUUGUGAAACGUGUAUAGUGUAAGGAUAUAAUUAUUAAGGGAAGUGACGUCACAGUGGUCGUGCCUGGUCUUCUCCGAGUCUA